This 405-nucleotide ribosomal RNA is filed under the name uncultured bacterium. Its description in RNAcentral is "bacterial SSU rRNA". It matches the Rfam family "Bacterial small subunit ribosomal RNA", at positions 355 to 776 of the family's 1533-position model. The record is from RNAcentral.
UGAGGAAUAUUGGUCAAUGGGCGCAAGCCUGAACCAGCAACGCCGCGUGGAGGAUGACGGCCUUCGGGUUGUAAACUCCUUUUGCAGGGGAAAAGGAAGGAUGGUACCCUGCGAAUAAGUCACGGCUAACUACGUGCCAGCAGCCGCGGUAAUACGUAGGUGACAAGCGUUAUCCGGAAUUAUUGGGCGUAAAGCGCACGCAAGCGGUUGGACAAGUCCGGCGUGAAAUCUCCCAGCUUAACUGGGAGCGGUCGCGGGAAACUGUUCGACUUGAGGCGAUGAGAGGGGUGCAGAAUUCCCGGUGUAGUGGUGGAAUGCGUAGAUAUCGGGAGGAAUACCAGUGGCGAAAGCGGCACCCUGGCGUCGUACUGACGCACAUGUGCGAAAGCGUGGGGAGCGAACGGG